GUGGAUGCGCAUGCUAUACUGCAGUCGAGCGAACGGACCAGCAGCUGGGUUCUCUGAUGUUAGCGGCGGACGGGUGAGUAACAGGUGGAUAACCUACCUUUAACACCGGGAUAACUUCGGGAAACCGGAGCUAAUACGGGAUAAUAUUUUGAACCGCAUGGUUCAAAAGUGAAAGACGGUCUUGCUGUCACUUAUGGAUGGAUCCGCGCUGCCCUAGCUAGUUGGUAAGGUAACGGCUUACCAAGGCCACGAUGGGAGCCAACCUGAGAGGGUGAUCGGCCACACUGGAACUGAGACACGGUCCAGACCCCCACGGGAGGCAGCAGUAGGGAAUCUUCCGCAGUGGGCGAAAGCCUGACAGAGCAACGCCGCGCGAGUGAUGAAGGUCUUCGGAUCGUAUAACUCUGUUAUUAGGGAAGAACAUAUAUGUAAGUAACUGUGCACAUCUGGACGGUCCCUAAUCAUAACGCCACGGCAAACUACGUGCCAGCACCCGCGGUCAUACGUAUGUAGCCAGCGUUAUCCGGAAUUAUCGGGCGUAAAGGGCGGGUAGGCGGUUUUUUAAGUCUGAUGUGAAAGCCCACGGCUCACCCGUGCAGGGUCAUUGGAGACUGGAGAACUUGAGUGCACAAGAGGACAGUGGAAUUCCGUGUGUAGCGGUGAAAUGCGCAGAGAUGUGGAGGAACACCAGUGGCGAACGCGACUUUCUGGUCUGUAACUGACGCUUAUGUGCGAAAGCGUGGGGAUCAGACAGGAUUAGAUACCCUGGUAGUCCACGCCAUACACCAUCAGUGCUGAGUGUUGGGGGGUUUCCGCCCCUUAGUGCUGCAUCUACGCACUAAGCACUCCUCCAGGGGAGUACUACCGCGGGUUGAGACUCAUAGGAAUUGACAGACACUCGCACAAGCGUGGAGCACGUGGUUUAAUUCGAGCAACGCGAGAACUUACAAUCUGACUCCUUGACACUCUGAGAUGAGUCAUCUCUUCGGUCGACAUAGUGACAGUGUGCAGGUGUCGUCUCUCGCGUCGUGAGAUGUCGGUUAAAUCCCGCUAACACCGCAACCGUGAUCUAGUGCCAUCAUUUACCUGGUCCUCUUAGAUGACUGCCGGUCACCACAGAGAAGGUGGGGAGAUGAGUGUAUUCAUCAUGCCCCUUAACACUCUGACAACCGGUCUCACAUCGUAAUAACAGAGUAUCUAACCCCGAUCAGCAGUUCGAUGAGCACCU
Molecule: ribosomal RNA, 1228 nt
Filed under: Staphylococcus aureus
Lineage: Bacteria; Bacillati; Bacillota; Bacilli; Caryophanales; Staphylococcaceae
Description: bacterial SSU rRNA
Rfam family: Bacterial small subunit ribosomal RNA
Source: RNAcentral